ACCUGGCUGGCUCAGUCGGUGGGGCAUGUGACUCUUGAUCUCAGGGUUGUGAGUUCAAGCCCCACGCUGGGCG
This 73-nucleotide transfer RNA is filed under the name Ailuropoda melanoleuca (giant panda). It matches the Rfam family "tRNA". From Rfam's summary of the family: Transfer RNA (tRNA) molecules are approximately 80 nucleotides in length. Their secondary structure includes four short double-helical elements and three loops (D, anti-codon, and T loops). The record is from Rfam by way of RNAcentral. Lineage: Eukaryota; Metazoa; Chordata; Mammalia; Carnivora; Ursidae.